UGGCAGCGUGGAUUAGGCAUGCAAGUCGAACGGGAUCGCCUGGAUAGCAAGUAGUCGGGGGUGAGAGUGGCGGAUGGGGAGGAGCACGUGAGCAACCUGCCCUGGAGAUGUGGAAAACCUCUGGAAACGGAGGCUAAUACAGAAUGUGGCGCCCCAUGGCAUCAUGGGAGCGCCGAAGGGGGCCGCAAGGCUCCCGCUCCGGGAUGGGCUCGCGCACCAUCAGCUAGUUGGCGGGGUAACGGCCCACCAAGGCCUACGGUUAGCUGGUCUGAGAGGAUGACCAACCCCCGCUGGGACUGAGAUACUGCCCAGACUCCUACGGGAGGCUGCAGUCGAGGAUCAUUCGCAAUGGACGGAAGUCUGACGAUGCGACGCUGCGUGGAGGAUUGAAGGCCUUCGGGUCGUAAACUCCUGUCAUGAGGGAAGAGGCGAGGGAAGCUAAUACCUUCUUUAGUUGACUGUACCUCAAGAGGAAGCGACGGCUAACUCUGUGCCAGCCGCCGC
RNAcentral lists this ribosomal RNA (504 nucleotides) under uncultured bacterium. RNAcentral's name for it is "bacterial SSU rRNA". It matches the Rfam family "Bacterial small subunit ribosomal RNA", at positions 37 to 518 of the family's 1533-position model. The record is from RNAcentral.